RNAcentral lists this ribosomal RNA (1031 nucleotides) under Salmonella enterica. RNAcentral describes it as "partial 23S ribosomal RNA". It matches the Rfam family "Bacterial large subunit ribosomal RNA", at positions 1175 to 2188 of the family's 2925-position model. Lineage: Bacteria; Pseudomonadati; Pseudomonadota; Gammaproteobacteria; Enterobacterales; Enterobacteriaceae. The record is from RNAcentral.
ACGGGGCUAAACCAUGCACCGAAGCUGCGGCAGCGACGCUGAUGCGUUGUUGGGUAGGGGAGCGUUCUGUAAGCCUGUGAAGGUGGCCUGUGAGGGUUGCUGGAGGUAUCAGAAGUGCGAAUGCUGACAUAAGUAACGAUAAAGCGGGUGAAAAGCCCGCUCGCCGGAAGACCAAGGGUUCCUGUCCAACGUUAAUCGGGGCAGGGUGAGUCGACCCCUAAGGCGAGGCCGAAAGGCGUAGUCGAUGGGAAACGGGUUAAUAUUCCCGUACUUGGUGUUACUGCGAAGGGGGGACGGAGAAGGCUAUGUUGGCCGGGCGACGGUUGUCCCGGUUUAAGCGUGUAGGUGUGUGUUCCAGGUAAAUCCGGUUCACUUUAACACUGAGGCGUGAUGACGAGGCACUACGGUGCUGAAGCAACAAAUGCCCUGCUUCCAGGAAAAGCCUCUAAGCAUCAGGUAACAUCAAAUCGUACCCCAAACCGACACAGGUGGUCAGGUAGAGAAUACCAAGGCGCUUGAGAGAACUCGGGUGAAGGAACUAGGCAAAAUGGUGCCGUAACUUCGGGAGAAGGCACGCUGACAUGUAGGUGAAGUGAUUUACUCAUGGAGCUGAAGUCAGUCGAAGAUACCAGCUGGCUGCAACUGUUUAUUAAAAACACAGCACUGUGCAAACACGAAAGUGGACGUAUACGGUGUGACGCCUGCCCGGUGCCGGAAGGUUAAUUGAUGGGGUCAGCGCAAGCGAAGCUCCUGAUCGAAGCCCCGGUAAACGGCGGCCGUAACUAUAACGGUCCUAAGGUAGCGAAAUUCCUUGUCGGGUAAGUUCCGACCUGCACGAAUGGCGUAAUGAUGGCCAGGCUGUCUCCACCCGAGACUCAGUGAAAUUGAACUCGCUGUGAAGAUGCAGUGUACCCGCGGCAAGACGGAAAGACCCCGUGAACCUUUACUAUAGCUUGACACUGAACAUUGAGCCUUGAUGUGUAGGAUAGGUGGGAGGCUUUGAAGUGUGGACGCCAGUCUGCAUGGAGCCG